GCGAGGUGUUGUGGGUUUCUCUAAGUGUUGCUGUUGAGCCAUUGGUUCUCCUGGAGGAGCUCAUCAUGACGAGCUUCCCCAGUGUGAGUUCGACCGUGGUCACCAGAGAAGCUCAGGACCUUGUUGAAUCUGCUCCUGGUUUUGUUUGCAAGGCCCCAGUCUCCGCUGUGAGUCCGGAGUACACAGGAAAGGAAACCCAGAGAAUGCGUCCUCACCACAGUCACUGCCUUGGAGCCCUGCCUGCUCCUCUUCUUUCUGUUCAUGUUUCUGCCUUCUGGAUAAACAAUCAAAAGAAGAAGAAAAAGGAAGAGGAGGAAGAAGAGGAGAUGUUGGUGCCGCAGCUACUGACCCUACAUUUCAGGAGACAAUGGAGAUGCUGAGUUUCUAAGGAUGGGUGCUUUAUGAAGAACAGAGGUUGAUUCAGCUCAUCACCAGAGAUCAGGUAGCCCCGUCAUUUCAGUGUCUGCUGGGGGCUUCAUGGUGAAUGCAUCAGGAUGGUGGAACCAGGUGCUGCAGAGAUCACACGGAACAACGGGACAUUAGUGAGGUUUCCCCGUCAGCCUUGCUUUUUGAAUAACAACAUCCUCUCUUAGAAACUCACCUGGUCAGAGGGAAUCACAGUGACCUCAUGGAGGGAAAGGUCUGAUCAGGUAACCCCCUUGGCCUCACCCCUCUCCAUACCCUUGAUAUGGCCACACCUGAAGGCCAAGCUCCUGAGCCACAAGGCCCACAGGAACCACAUCCAAACCUCAGCAAAAGCCAAACCCAUGUGCUGUCAGUAUAUUCGCAAACUGAGACUCAAAACAAAUUCAAAUACCUGGAUUGGGAAUCUGGAGGAAGGCUCUAGCUUCAGUAGGGUCACUAGCUUGCUGGGUGACUUGGGUACAUCUGUUUUCCCUCUCUGGUUUCAACCUUUAUGUCUGUAAAUGCAGCCUUGAGAGCCAAGACUAAAAUGAGAACUAUGCCAGACACAGUGAAGAAGAAAAUAGGUAAAAUCAAAUUGUGCCAGAGGUAAAUACAUCCUUGGAAAUAAAUUUGUAAAUGCAUUUCAUAGGAGGAGCCUUGUACCCUCUCUGCCCUCUCCCUUGAUGUUCCUCUCCAACAUAUUUGUGUUUCUGAAUAAAUACUACACGUCAAAUGCCAAAAUUCCAUCUGCAUCCCCCUGCUGAGAAGUCAUAGUGCCACGUCUAUGACACGGCUCCGUUUCCAUGGGGACAAUAGUAUCGACAUAAUUCCAGCACUAUGACUGCUGGGUGUUUGGGAGACGGGUGAAAGCAAGGAGAAAGCAGUGUACGCACAUUUGCUGCUGUUCUAAUAACUGACAGCUACAGGAGUGAUGCUGCUGAAAAUAGCCAGUUGGAACCAGGCAGAUGCCCAACAGAGGCUGAGGUCUUUCUUCCUGAUUGCAGAAAAGAACACUGACCUCCUGAGCACUUCCUCCUUGAUGUUCUUGGAUUGCAUUGUUUUUCAUUUUUGUGUAAGUUUUUAAUACAACAUAAUUUGCAUCAGGCAACUGUCAGGCUUUUAUCUGCUUUAUUUCAUUGCCUAAAUCUUUCAUCUGGGUGGGGACUGCAUUAAACUCACCCUGAAUAAUAGCUUCUAAUAUUUAAAUCCAUUACUCAAAUUCAAUACUGCUGAGAAGCUGUCACUCCUACUCCAUCUGCAAAUGUGGGUAUUUAAAUGUAGAGGUUCUCCUGAAAUUUUCCACAGCGGGAGAAAAGGAAUCCAUUUAAAUAUAUACCUUGGACAGUGCAAAUUCUGUAAGAGUGAAAUUUUAAACAACCCAAGACCUGGAACCCAAGGCCUUCAUGCUGAGCUGCAUCUCCAGUCUAUUUCAUAUUUUUUAUUUUGAGGCAGGAUCUCAUUAAGUUGCCCGGGCUUGGCUCCAACUUGUAAUCCUCCUGCCUCAACCUCCGAGAGUGCUGGGGUUUACUAGUGUGUGUUGCUGUGCCUGGCUAAACAAUCUAUUUCUUUAUAAAGUUGGGAUUUUAAAAAAAUGUUGCUGAUCAUAAAAAUAAUUCAUUCUCCCCCCAAAAAAAUAAAAAUUUAAACAAGCACUGAAGAAGCUACAGUAGAAAGUAGUAUAUCCAAAAUUUAUGUCUUAUAGAGUCACUAUGUUAUCUCUUACUUUAGACAUUCACAUAGGUUGAAUGCCAUGAUUCUACAGCAGGCUGAAUUUUUCAAACAUGGCCACAACAAUAUGCCUGCCUUCAGUGCUCUUCCACAAGCAUCCCUGGUGCGCUCUCUCUCUCUCUCUCUCUCUCUCUCUCUCUCUCUCUUUUUAAGAGAUGUCGUUUCUCCACUUGUCUGAAUAUGAGGAGGCCUGGUGGGCUUCACAGAUUAGACACAGCAUCACACAAGAUCUGUGCACGGCUCCUAACAACUCAGAGACAAACCAUCCAGCAGAGCCCUUUGGAGGGCUGAUCUGGUUACACCAGAAGUAGAAUAAGGGCACAAGAGCCACAAAUGUCCCUGAACAACUUGAACUUAUAUAUGGCUGUGUUCCUUAAUACAAGCAUCAACUUCUGUAGAAAAACUUUAUUACUGGCAUAACCUAUGCCACAGCCUCCUCUGCUGUAACCAUCAUGGAACCGUGGGGCAGGGAGUUUCCACAGCACCUGAGCCGCUGGACAGUCUGUGCCAUCACUGAGGAACUGCCCUGGAAAGUGUCCCGGACCCCAGACCUUGGAAACGAGUGCAAUUUUUAAAAAGUGUACUAAUAUUGAGAUGCUGCACUGUUAACACGUAAAUAACCACCUAACUUUCCGCACCACACGUGGGUCACAGACACACUUGUCAAAUGCACAGGGGGCUGACAUCAGCUCCACACGUAACCUGAGUCACUUUGGUAGAGGGUUUAACAGUCCUAAGUCUUUCUGUAGUUUUCCCUCAUGUUCCUAAUAGUACAAACAUAUAUAAAAUGUGUGUAUGCAAAGUUAGACUUUAGUUUUCGUUUCACAAAAAAGGAGACUUUUUAUAUUCCUUUCUGCCUCUUGCAGUUCUUAAUAUGAAUGGUAGAAUGCAGUCAUCUGCUGGAGCCUGACUCAUGCGUUUUACUAAUGGUUCAUGGGAAUGAGCAGGAGAAUUUAUUCAGCCAGUAUUCUCUUCACAAGCACCCUCUUUUAUCUGAUUUUGUGCUAUUAGAAACAAUGCUGCAAUAAGCAAUUUAGCGGGUAGAUACAUUUUCUUUUAUUCUAUUGGCAUGCUCAGAAUUUCACUCAAUACAGACUCAUACAUCUAAUUUCUUUCACUUCGUAUGCUUUUGAGAUUCAUCCAUUAUUUUGAGUGUAUUCAAAAUCUGUUACUUCCUAUUACAGAAUUCCAUAGUGCAGUUAAACAAAAAUGUGUUUAUCCAUUCAUCCCUUUUGUCAGUUAUAAAGUAUCCUGCUGUAAGUUUUUCUGUGCGUGUCUUGUACACAUGUUUUUAUUUACCUUGGGGAAAUAUCUAGAAAUGAAAACUUCUGAGACAUAAGGGAUAAAGUUAGAGCUCCGGCAAUACUAUUUUCUCCAAUGACUACCAUUUUGCCUUUUCACCAGCCUGACUGCUGUGGUUUAUACCAAGAAUAUGCCCCAAGAGCGUCACCUGCUAGUGGUCAGGCUCAUGGAAGGUGAAUGGUGGGGAGCUCUAGCUGCCCUGCUCUGAGGAGGUGGGGCCUGGUUAGGAGGUCCCUGGGAAACGACCUGGAGGGUUGUACACCACUGCCACCUCCUCCUCCACCCACUUCUCUCUUCACGAGCAGCUCUUCUCCUCUGAGCCCCUCUGCCACACUGCUCUUGCCCUGGAGCCGGCCCACCCAAAUAACCCUCUCCUCCUCUAAGUCGUGGUCUCAGGGAUCUACCUCAGAACUGUGGAAACAACGGAGGCGCUCAGCAGUACAAGGCACUGUCAGCAUUUUUCAGGGGGGCCAUUCCAGCACGCAUGUCACGGCAGCCUGCACAGGCACUGAAUUGGCACCUGUGAUGGAGAGUGAUGUUUUAUGUGCUUCUUAACCAUUCCCAUAUCUUCACUUGUAAAACAUUUGCUCAAAUAUUUGGUCCUUGUUUUACAAAGGCCUAUUUUUAUGGGGCUGUUUGACUCCUUGUUCUUCAGU
Molecule: long non-coding RNA, 4091 nt
Organism: Cavia porcellus (domestic guinea pig)
Lineage: Eukaryota; Metazoa; Chordata; Mammalia; Rodentia; Caviidae
Exons: 5
Source: RefSeq, a predicted model, not a curated record